Molecule: transfer RNA, 105 nt
Rfam family: tRNA
About the family: Transfer RNA (tRNA) molecules are approximately 80 nucleotides in length. Their secondary structure includes four short double-helical elements and three loops (D, anti-codon, and T loops). Further hydrogen bonds mediate the characteristic L-shaped molecular structure. tRNAs have two regions of fundamental functional importance: the anti-codon, which is responsible for specific mRNA codon recognition, and the 3' end, to which the tRNAs corresponding amino acid is attached (by aminoacyl-tRNA synthetases). tRNAs cope with the degeneracy of the genetic code in two manners: having more than one tRNA (with a specific anti-codon) for a particular amino acid; and 'wobble' base-pairing, i.e. permitting non-standard base-pairing at the 3rd anti-codon position.
Source: Rfam
GGCAACGUGUCCGAGUGGUUAUGGAGCUGCACUCGAACUGUCCCAUCUCGGGAUCCAAGAAAUGCAGUGGCUUCGGCCGCGUAGGUUCGAAUCCUGCCGUUGUCG